CCUACGGGUGGCAGCAGUGGGGAAUAUUGCACAAUGGGGGAAACCCUGAUGCAGCGACGCCGCGUGAAGGAAGAAGUAUUUCGGUAUGUAAAGUUCUAUCAGCAGGGAAGAAAAUGACGGUACCUGACUAAGAAGCCCCGGCUAACUACGUGCCAGCAGCCGCGGUAAUACGUAGGGGGCAAGCGUUAUCCGGAUUUACUGGGUGUAAAGGGAGCGUAGGCGGUGGUGCAAGUCAGAAGUGAAAGCCCGCGGCUCAACUGCGGGACGGCUUUUGAAACUGUAUAACUGGAUUGCGGGAGAGGUAAGUGGAAUUCCUGGUGUAGCGGUGAAAUGCGUAGAGAUUAGGAGGAACACCAGUGGCGAAGGCGGCUUACUGGACUGUAAAUGACGUUGAGGCUCGAAAGCGUGGGGAGCAAACAGGAUUAGAUACCCGUGUAGUC
Molecule: ribosomal RNA, 440 nt
Filed under: uncultured bacterium
Lineage: Bacteria
Description: partial 16S ribosomal RNA
Rfam family: Bacterial small subunit ribosomal RNA
Source: RNAcentral